AUUGAACGCUGGCGGCAGGCCUAACACAUGCAAGUCGAAUGGUAACAGGAAACAGCUUGCUGUUUCGCUGACGAGUGGCGGACGGGUGAGUAAUGUCUGGGAAACUGCCUGAUGGAGGGGGAUAACUACUGGAAACGGUAGCUAAUACCGCAUAACGUCGCAAGACCAAAGAGGGGGACCUUCGGGCCUCUUGCCAUCAGAUGUGCCCAGAUGGGAUUAGCUAGUAGGUGGGGUAACGGCUCACCUAAGCGACGAUCCCUAGCUGGUCUGAGAGGAUGACCAGCCACACUGGAACUGAGACACGGUCCAGACUCCUACGGGAGGCAGCAGUGGGGAAUAUUGCACAAUGGGCGCAAGCCUGAUGCAGCCAUGCCGCGUGUAUGAAGAAGGCCUUCGGGUUGUAAAGUACUUUCAGCGGGGAGGAAGGGAGUAAAGUUAAUACCUUUGCUCAUUGACGUUACCCGCAGAAGAAGCACCGGCUAACUCCGUG
RNAcentral lists this ribosomal RNA (490 nucleotides) under uncultured bacterium. RNAcentral describes it as "partial 16S ribosomal RNA". It matches the Rfam family "Bacterial small subunit ribosomal RNA", at positions 30 to 507 of the family's 1533-position model. The record is from RNAcentral.